GAGUUUGAUCCUGGCUCAGAACGAACGCUGGCGGCGUGGAUAAGACAUGCAAGUCGAACGGGACACAUUUUAUAGCAAUAUGAGAUGUGUUUAGUGGCGCAAGGGUGAGUAACACGUGGGCAAUCUGCCGAAAAGUUGGGGAUAGCUCGCCGAAAGGCGAAUUAAUACCGAAUGUGGUAAUCGAAGACAUCUUCGAGAAACUAAAGCCGGGGUAACCUGGUGCUUUUUGAUGAACCCGCGGCCUAUCAGCUUGUUGGUGAGGUAAUGGCUCACCAAGGCAAUGACGGGUAGCUGGUCUGAGAGGACGACCAGCCACACUGGAACUGAGACACGGUCCAGACACCUACGGGUGGCAGCAGUCGAGAAUUUUUCUCAAUGGGGGGAAACCCUGAAGGAGCGACGCCGCGUGGAGGAUGAAGGUUUUCGGAUUGUAAACUCCUGUCAUCCGGGAGCAAUGCUGUGUGUUUAACUGACAUGCAGUUGAUAGUACCGGAAGAGGAAGAGACGGCUAACUCUGU
This 518-nucleotide ribosomal RNA is filed under the name uncultured Spartobacteria bacterium. RNAcentral's name for it is "bacterial SSU rRNA". It matches the Rfam family "Bacterial small subunit ribosomal RNA", at positions 9 to 506 of the family's 1533-position model. Lineage: Bacteria; Pseudomonadati; Verrucomicrobiota; Spartobacteria. The record is from RNAcentral.